This is a long non-coding RNA of Prosopis cineraria, 784 nucleotides long. RefSeq lists it as uncharacterized. The transcript has 2 exons. Lineage: Eukaryota; Viridiplantae; Streptophyta; Magnoliopsida; Fabales; Fabaceae. The record is from RefSeq and is a predicted model, not a curated record.
UUCCCUUUCACUGAACCAGACUGAAACUCUUUCUCAUGGCUAAUUUCGCUGUUGCUGAUUAUUUCGGCCACCGUAUCCUUCUCAUCAGCACGAUUUCUCUUGUUUCUUGCUAAGUCUUUCCUUACCCAUACAUUUCUGACAGUCUUAACUGGGUUUUUCGUAGAUGAACCGUUGAAAGAAGCUGGAAAGCUCGCCUUGCCAUCGUCUCUGUACUCUAGGUUGGCUAGCACAUCAAAUUGAGAUUUAUUAAUGAAGCUAGAUCCUCGAUUUGGGUGAUUUUGCUGAUUACCCGUUGGAUUCUUCAGUUUUCUUGCUCAGGCUGGUCUUUGAAACUUCAUCCACUCUUCGCAAGUUUCGUCCAGCCAGUAAGCGUCCGAUGAACCUUCAUGAGUUCAUCUUGCUAGUUUUUCUGGAGGAUCCAUGAUAGCAUCUUGAGAUUUUGAAGCUGAGAAAACGAAAUCAGACUUGGAUUUCAUUGCAGAAAAUGAGUAUUUGACGAUGAAGAUUGAAGACGUUUCCAAUCUCACAAUUUAAGAAGCAUAUUUUGACACGUAGGAUGAGAUUGAGAAGGGGAAGAAGACGGGAUUCUUUUGCAAACUGAUGCAAUGGGUUUUGUUUCAUGAAGGCUGUAGUUAUACGGGGGAACGGAUUGCAUGUUUCUCUUUUUUUAAAAAGUAUCUUAUUUAACUAAUAAAACAUUAGUUGAGUUAUUUAAUAUCUCUAAACACUAAUUAUUUAUUGAAAUGUUAUAAAACUGUAUAAAAAAGGAAAUGUUAUUUCUUCA